GUAAUAUCCCGCGGAACUACACAAUCACUAUUCAAAAUGUAUGCACAACGAUUGAUCAGAAAGAUGGCAUUCACAGGGUAUUUGAACAGUCUAGCGUUUAUAUUUUAGGUAUCAAAUAAAAGAUUAAGGUGUAAUCUGACAACAUAAACUUUUUUAAAGGAUUUCUUUGAGAAAAAGUAAUGAAGAGCAAUGUAAAAUUUAAAUGGAGGGAAUGGUGAGGGACAGACUUGUUCGUUUGCUUUAUUCUACCAAGGACCAGAACAUUGAAACCUAUUAGGAAAUUGGUGAGGGAUACACUUGUUCAUUUGCCGUAUUCUACCAAUGAACAGGACAUAGAAACACAUCAGGAAAUUGGUGAUGGACAGACCUGAUCUACCUGGGGCCAGGGCAUAGAAACAUGUCAGGUACUUAAUACACCUUUUUUGUCC
Saccostrea cuccullata (small rock oyster) is the source of this 428-nucleotide long non-coding RNA. RefSeq lists it as uncharacterized. The record is from RefSeq and is a predicted model, not a curated record. Lineage: Eukaryota; Metazoa; Mollusca; Bivalvia; Ostreida; Ostreidae. The transcript has 4 exons.